AUUUAGCGGAGUGGUGACUGGGGUGUUACGUUCCCCCCAUUUAAAAAAUUUGGUCCCCCAAAUUUGUUUCGAAUAGGUCUAGAAAAUUCUCUCUCAUCUCAUUUUCGAACUCCCAUGUCUCCUCUUCCAAAGAGUGGUGUUGCCUUUGCACCUUCACUAUGGGGAUCGUCUCGUUGCAUAAAACUUUGUCGAUCCAAUCAAGAAUUUCCACGAGGAGUUUCGCAUAAGUCAUAUCG
Molecule: long non-coding RNA, 236 nt
Filed under: Carica papaya (papaya)
Lineage: Eukaryota; Viridiplantae; Streptophyta; Magnoliopsida; Brassicales; Caricaceae
Description: long non-coding RNA (CPAP_LNC003468)
Source: RNAcentral